This 77-nucleotide transfer RNA is filed under the name Cytophagia bacterium. RNAcentral's name for it is "tRNA-Leu". It matches the Rfam family "tRNA". From Rfam's summary of the family: Transfer RNA (tRNA) molecules are approximately 80 nucleotides in length. The record is from RNAcentral. Lineage: Bacteria; Pseudomonadati; Bacteroidota; Cytophagia.
GCCCAGAUGACGGAAUUGGCAUACGUAUCGGUCUUAGAAGCCGAGUUUUGUGGGUUCGACUCCCACUUUGGGCACCA